AUUGAACGCUGGCGGCAGGCCUAACACAUGCAAGUCGAGCGGAUGAAGGGAGCUUGCUCCUGGAUUCAGCGGCGGACGGGUGAGUAAUGCCUAGGAAUCUGCCUGGUAGUGGGGGAUAACGUCCGGAAACGGGCGCUAAUACCGCAUACGUCCUGAGGGAGAAAGUGGGGGUUCUACGGACCUCACGCUAUCAGAUGAGCCUAGGUCGGAUUAGCUAGUUGGUGGGGUAAAGGCCUACCAAGGCGACGAUCCGUAACUGGUCUGAGAGGAUGAUCAGUCACACUGGAACUGAGACACGGUCCAGACUCCUACGGGAGGCAGCAGUGGGGAAUAUUGGACAAUGGGCGAAAGCCUGAUCCAGCCAUGCCGCGUGUGUGAAGAAGGUCUUCGGAUUGUAAAGCACUUUAAGUUGGGAGGAAGGGCAGUAAGUUAAUACCUUGCUGUUUUGACGUUACCAACAGAAUAAGCACCGGCUAACUUCGUG
RNAcentral lists this ribosomal RNA (484 nucleotides) under uncultured bacterium. RNAcentral describes it as "partial 16S ribosomal RNA". It matches the Rfam family "Bacterial small subunit ribosomal RNA", at positions 30 to 507 of the family's 1533-position model. The record is from RNAcentral.